RNAcentral lists this ribosomal RNA (278 nucleotides) under uncultured eukaryote. RNAcentral describes it as "partial 18S ribosomal RNA". It matches the Rfam family "Eukaryotic small subunit ribosomal RNA", at positions 25 to 294 of the family's 1831-position model. The record is from RNAcentral.
UCACAUAUGCUUGUCUCAAAGAUUAAGCCAUGCAAGUCUAAGUAUAAAAAUAUUUUAUAUUUGAAACUGCAGAUAGCUCAUUAAAUCAGUUAUAGUUUAUUUGAUGGUACCUUACUACUUGGAUAACCGUAGUAAUUCUAGAGCUAAUACAUGCGUAAAGUCCCGACUCGUGAGGGAAGGGAUGUAUUUAUUAGAUAAAAAACCAAUGCGGACUCUGUCCGGUUAUUUGGUGAUUCAUAAUAACUGUUCGAAUCGCAUGACUUAACGUCGGCGAUAGU